Molecule: long non-coding RNA, 774 nt
Filed under: Takifugu rubripes (torafugu)
Lineage: Eukaryota; Metazoa; Chordata; Actinopteri; Tetraodontiformes; Tetraodontidae
Description: lncRNA (ENSTRUG00000031284.1)
Source: RNAcentral
AUGGAUGUCAGGGGGCUAAGGCUCCUCUCUUUCUCUUUUUUUCAGGCUGUGAGGGAGCUCACAGAAACACACACAUAUAUUUAUUAUGAUUUACACUUUGUUUUUCUGAAACAGAUGUUCUGCCAUCUUUACCUCCUCUGGAUCAUCUGGGAGAACAGCCCAGGGCAGGACGGGAGACGCUGGACCAACAUCAGGGUGAUGACCCAUAAAAAGGAAAAACGGCAUGAACAAUCUGGAAUCAGAGUCUGUUGUCACAGCCAAACCCAAACAUUAACGACAAGAUUAGCUCCGGACAGCUGCACACAAAGGCGUUAUGACUCAAAGCCAGCCAGAAGGACAGGAUGUUCUCUUGGCCCCCAAAAGCAAGACGAUUGUGCAAUACAUUCAAGUCAAAACUCAUCGCCCCCCCCCCCCCCCCCACACACACACACACACCCCGCCCACCACCCUCGCCGCCCACCACCCUCGCCGCCACCAUUGUUUUUGUGCUGUGCAGCUCUGAAGAGGGAGCGCUGUGUGCUAAUCUCUCACUCUUUCCAAGAAAAAUACAUUCCUGAACGCUCCUUUCAUGUUUGUCACAUUACGGAGGAGAACGUUUUUCCCCCGGAACUGGCAGGCGGCCAGCCCUCCCAACCAAACGGCCCCAGACACGUGCACGCCGCACAGGUCGGGGAACAGCCUGCACAGUUUACACAGUUUACUCCUACAUUGCAACAUGUGGACAGUCCACUUUGUCUUUUCUUUGCAGGUAGGGUUAGGGUUCGGGUCACAUGA